GAGGGAGGUGGAAUUCCGCGUGUAGCAGUGAAAUGCGUAGAUAUGCGGAGGAACACCGAUGGCGAAGGCAGCCCCUGGGAUAACACUGACGCUCAUGCACGAAAGCGUGGGGAGCAAACAGGAUUAGAUACCCUGGUAGUCCACGCCCUAAACGAUGUCAACUAGCUUUUCGUUGGGGCCUUCGGGCCUUGGUAGCAGCUAACGCGUGAAGUUGACCGCCUGGGGAGUACGGUCGCAAGAUUAAAACUCAAUAAUUGACGGGGACCCGCACAAGCGGUGGAUGAUGUGGAUUAAUUCGAUGCAACGCGAAAAACCUUACCUACCCUUGACAUGUCUGGAAUCCCGAAGAGAUUUGGGAGUGCUCGCAAGAGAACCGGAACAGGUGCUGCAUGGCUGUCGUCAGCUCAAAAUGUGAGAUGUUGGUUAAGUCCCGCAACGAGCGCAACCCUUGUCAUUAGUUGCUACGAAAGGGCACUCUAAUGAGACUGCCGGUGACAAACCGGAGGAAGGUGGGGAUGACGUCAAGUCCUCAUGGCCCUUAUGGGUAGGGCUUCACACGUCAUACAAUGGUCGGGACAGAGGGUCGCCAACCCGCGAGGGGGAGCCAAUCCCCAGAAACCCGAUCGUAGUCCGGAUCGCAGUCUGCAACUCGACUGAUGCGUGAAGUCGGAAUCGCUAGUAACUGCGGAUCAGCAUGUCGCGUGAAUACGUUCCCGGGUCUUGUACACACCGCCCGUCACACCAUGGGAGUGGUUUUACCAGAAGUAGUUAGGGCCUAACCGUAAGGAGGGCGAUUACCACGGUAGGAUUCAUGACUGGGGUGAAGUCGUAACAAGGUAG
RNAcentral lists this unclassified non-coding RNA (840 nucleotides) under uncultured Bordetella sp. RNAcentral describes it as "partial 16S-23S ribosomal RNA intergenic spacer". It matches the Rfam family "Bacterial small subunit ribosomal RNA", at positions 654 to 1499 of the family's 1533-position model. Lineage: Bacteria; Pseudomonadati; Pseudomonadota; Betaproteobacteria; Burkholderiales; Alcaligenaceae. The record is from RNAcentral.